Molecule: ribosomal RNA, 1511 nt
Filed under: uncultured bacterium
Lineage: Bacteria
Description: partial 16S ribosomal RNA
Rfam family: Bacterial small subunit ribosomal RNA
Source: RNAcentral
GCACUGGAGAGUUUGAUCCUGGCUCAGAUUGAACGCUGGCGGCAGGCCUAACACAUGCAAGUCGAGCGGUAGAGAGAAGCUUGCUUCUCUUGAGAGCGGCGGACGGGUGAGUAAUGCCUAGGAAUCUGCCUGGUAGUGGGGGAUAACGUUCGGAAACGGACGCUAAUACCGCAUACGUCCUACGGGAGAAAGCAGGGGACCUUCGGGCCUUGCGCUAUCAGAUGAGCCUAGGCCGGAUUAGCUAGUUGGUGAGGUAAUGGCUCACCAAGGCGACGAUCCGUAACUGGUCUGAGAGGAUGAUCAGUCACACUGGAACUGAGACACGGUCCAGACUCCUACGGGAGGCAGCAGUGGGGAAUAUUGGACAAUGGGCGAAAGCCUGAUCCAGCCAUGCCGCGUGUGUGAAGAAGGUCUUCGGAUUGUAAAGCACUUUAAGUUGGGAGGAAGGGCAGUUACCUAAUACGUGAUUGUUUUGACGUUACCGACAGAAUAAGCACCGGCUAACUCUGUGCCAGCAGCCGCGGUAAUACAGAGGGUGCAAGCGUUAAUCGGAAUUACUGGGCGUAAAGCGCGCGUAGGUGGUUAGUUAAGUUGGAUGUGAAAUCCCCGGGCUCAACCUGGGAACUGCAUUCAAAACUGACUGACUAGAGUAUGGUAGAGGGUGGUGGAAUUUCCUGUGUAGCGGUGAAAUGCGUAGAUAUAGGAAGGAACACCAGUGGCGAAGGCGACCACCUGGACUGAUACUGACACUGAGGUGCGAAAGCGUGGGGAGCAAACAGGAUUAGAUACCCUGGUAGUCCACGCCGUAAACGAUGUCAACUAGCCGUUGGGAGCCUUGAGCUCUUAGUGGCGCAGCUAACGCAUUAAGUUGACCGCCUGGGGAGUACGGCCGCAAGGUUAAAACUCAAAUGAAUUGACGGGGGCCCGCACAAGCGGUGGAGCAUGUGGUUUAAUUCGAUGCAACGCGAAAAACCUUACCCACCUUUGACAUGUACGGAAUCCUUUAGAGAUAGAGGAGUGCUCGAAAGAGAACCGUAACACAGGUGCUGCAUGGCUGUCGUCAGCUCGUGUCGUGAGAUGUUGGGUUAAGUCCCGCAACGAGCGCAACCCUUGCCAUUAGUUGCUACAUUUAGUUGGGCACUCUAAUGAGACUGCCGGUGACAAACCGGAGGAAGGUGGGGAUGACGUCAAGUCCUCAUGGCCCUUAUAGGUGGGGCUACACACGUCAUACAAUGGCCGGUACAAAGGGUCGCAAACCCGCGAGGGGGAGCCAAUCCAUCAAAGCCGGUCGUAGUCCGGAUCGCAGUCUGCAACUCGACUGCGUGAAGUCGGAAUCGCUAGUAAUCGUGGAUCAGCAUGUCACGGUGAAUACGUUCCCGGGUCUUGUACACACCGCCCGUCACACCAUGGGAGCGGGUCUCGCCAGAAGUAGUUAGCCUAACCGCAAAGAGGGCGAUUACCACGGCGGGGUUCGUGACUGGGGUGAAGACGUAACAAGGUAACCGCUCAAG